Molecule: ribosomal RNA, 253 nt
Filed under: uncultured bacterium
Lineage: Bacteria
Description: partial 16S ribosomal RNA
Rfam family: Bacterial small subunit ribosomal RNA
Source: RNAcentral
UACGUAGGGGGCAAGCGUUGUCCGGAUUUAUUGGGCGUAAAGAGCGUGUAGGCGGCUAGGUAGGUCCGUUGUGAAAACUCGAGGCUCAACCUCGAGACGCCGGUGGAAACCAUCUAGCUAGAGUCCGGAAGAGGAGAGUGGAAUUCCUGGUGUAGCGGUGAAAUGCGUAGAUAUCUGGAGGAACACCGGUGGCGAAGGCGGCAUCCUGGACCGACAUUGACGCUGAGGCGCGAAAGCCAGGGGAGCAAACGGG